CCUACCAAAGCAAAGUUUGGACCUGCGGAAGGAUCAUUA
This 39-nucleotide ribosomal RNA is filed under the name Lodderomyces parapsilosis. Its description in RNAcentral is "Candida parapsilosis partial 18S ribosomal RNA". The record is from RNAcentral. Lineage: Eukaryota; Fungi; Ascomycota; Pichiomycetes; Serinales; Debaryomycetaceae.